This 380-nucleotide ribosomal RNA is filed under the name uncultured bacterium. RNAcentral describes it as "bacterial SSU rRNA". It matches the Rfam family "Bacterial small subunit ribosomal RNA", at positions 28 to 402 of the family's 1533-position model. The record is from RNAcentral.
GACGAACGCUGGCGGCGUGCUUAACACAUGCAAGUGGAGCGACGAACCGGGGCUUGCCCCGGGGCAGAGCCACGAACGGGUGAGUAACACGUGGGUAACCUGCCUCAAUGAUUGGGACAACCCGGGGAAACUCGGGCUAAUACCAAAUGUGUUCACUCCUUCUAAGGGGAGUGAGGAAAGGAAGCUUCGGCCUCCGCAUUGAGAUGGGCCCGCGGCCCAUUAGCUUGUUGGUGAGGUAACGGCUCACCAAGGCUUCGAUGGGUAGCUGGUCUGAGAGGACGAUCAGCCACACUGGGACUGAGACACGGCCCAGACUCCUACGGAGGCAGCAGUGGGGAAUCUUGCACAAUGCGCGAAAGCGUGAUGCAGCAACGCCGCGU